UAACACAUGCAAGUCGAACGAGAAAGUUCCUUCGGGAGCGAUUAAAGUGGCGCACGGGUGAGUAACGCGUAGACAAUCUGCCCUUCAGUCUGGGACAACUUUUCGAAAGGAGAGCUAAUACCGGAUAACAAUGUUUAACAUAAGUUAAGUAUUUGAAAGCUUUAUGUGCUGAAGGAGGGGUCUGCGUCCCAUUAGCUAGUUGGUAAGGUAAAGGCUUACCAAGGCAACGAUGGGUAGCGGGUUUGAGAGGACGAUCCGCCACACUGGAACUGAGACACGGUCCAGACUCCUACGGGAGGCAGCAGUGGGGAAUAUUGCACAAUGGAGGAAACUCUGAUGCAGCAUUGUCGCGUGAGUGAAGAAGGCCCUUGGGUCGUAAAGCUCUUUUAUGGGGGAAGAUGAUGACGGUACCCCAAGAAUAAGCACCGGCUAACUAUGUGCCAGCAGCCGCGGUAAUACAUAGGGUGCGAGCGUUGUUCGGAAUUACUGGGCGUAAAGGGCGCGCAGGCGGAAUAGUAAGUCGGAGGUGAAAGCCCGGGGCUCAACCCCGGAGGGUCUUUCGAAACUGCUAAUCUAGAGAGGGUCAGGGGCCGGCAGAAUUCCUGGUGUAGAGGUGAAAUUCGUAGAUAUCAGGAGGAAUACCGGUGGCGAAGGCGGCCGGCUGGGGCCACUCUGACGCUGAGGCGCGAAAGCGUGGGGGAGCAAACAGGAUUAGAUACCCUGGUAGUCCACGCCGUAACGAUGAGCACUGGACGUCCGGAGGGUUCGACCCUUCUGGGUGUCUCAGCUAACGCAUUAAGUGCUCCGCCUGGGGAGUACGGUCGCAAGACUAAAACUCAAAGGAAUUGACGGGGGCCCGCACAAGCGGUGGAACAUGUGGUUUAAUUCGAUGCAACGCGAAGAACCUUACCUGGUCUUGACAUCCUCGGACCGCUUCAGAGAUGAAGUUUCCUCUUCGGAGGCCGAGUGACACGUGCUGCAUGGCUGUCGUCAGCUCGUGUCGUGAGAUGUUGGGUUAAGUCCCGCAACGAGCGCAACCCCUACCCUUAAUUGCCAUCGGGUUAUGCCGGGCACUUUAGGGGGACUGCCGGUGACAAGCCGGAGGAGGGUGGGGAUGACGUCAAGUCCUCAUGGCCUUUAUGACCAGGGCUACACACGUGUUACAAUGGGAGUUACAGAGGGAAGCUAAGCCGCGAGGCCAUGCCAAUCCCAGAAAAACUUUCUCAGUUCGGAUCGCAGUCUGCAACUCGACUGCGUGAAGCUGGAAUCGCCAGUAAUCGCGGAUCAGCACGCCGCGGUGAAUACGUUCCCGGGCCUUGUACACACCGCCCGUCACACCAUGGGAGCCGACAAGGGCAGAAGUCGCCGAGCUAACCUUCGGGAAGCAGGCGCCCAAGCUGUUGUUGACGACUGGGGUG
Molecule: ribosomal RNA, 1418 nt
Filed under: uncultured SAR324 cluster bacterium
Lineage: Bacteria; Deltaproteobacteria
Description: bacterial SSU rRNA
Rfam family: Bacterial small subunit ribosomal RNA
Source: RNAcentral